This 253-nucleotide ribosomal RNA is filed under the name uncultured bacterium. RNAcentral's name for it is "partial 16S ribosomal RNA". It matches the Rfam family "Bacterial small subunit ribosomal RNA", at positions 524 to 776 of the family's 1533-position model. The record is from RNAcentral.
UACAGAGGUCUCAAGCGUUGUCCGGAAUCACUGGGCGUAAAGGGCGCGUAGGUGGCUUGGUAAGCGUGUGGUGAAAGUCCGGGGCUCAACCCCGGAUCUGCCGUGCGAACUGCCGAGCUCGAGCAUUGUAGAGGCAGGUGGAAUUCCGGGAGUAGCGGUGGAAUGCGUAGAGAUCCGGAAGAACACCAGUGGCGAAGGCGGCCUGCUGGGCAAUAGCUGACACUGAGGCGCGACAGCGUGGGGAGCAAACAGG